AAUAUUCGUUCCCAUUUCGUAUUCCCUAAAUUGUUGCAUAGUGUAGCCGUUAGGACUAUACUGGUGAAAAUCUUGUUUUAUUUAUUUAUUUUCAACAAAUUAAUUAUCUCGCGCUAUUGCAGGUUGUGCAAGCUUGAUGCGAACGUGAAUACAUAUUACUAUGAACGUUGACUGAUUUUAACAGUGGAGUGGUUUAAGCCGGAGGUUGGCCCGUAUAGCGUAGACCAGAAACUGCGCUUGGCUAUGACGUCACCGCACGUUGCCUAGCAACCACUUGGCAGAGCUGCACCUCACUUCACCGCCGCUCCGCACCACCGCACACCUGCUCCGUCUAACCAUAACGCCACUUUACGUCGCCUAGCAACCACUUAUGCCUCACUUCACCUAGACAUGUCAACGCUUCGCCAGGCCGCGUCUUGAAGCGGGUCGUGCGGCCAAGCGAGAAUCUGCGCGUCGGAGGCGAGCCGAUCCGGAAUACCGUGCAGUAGCUGCAGCCGAGAAGAGGCGUCGUCGAGUCGAAGAUCCCUAGUUUCAAGAACGAGAAAGCGAGAGUCUGCGUUUGAGUAUCCAGCGUCGUCGGGAUAGCGCCCCUGGCUGUGGCUUGGUCGAUCACAAGCUCCGCUGUUUGCUUCAACCUUGCACCACUAGUGCAAGCUGCGCUCAUUUUUUUUUCUUAUCGCAAAAGCACGAAGCAAUGAUACUUUCUUCCACCGUUUUUAAGUAUUUAUUUAUUUAUUUAUUGUAAAUGUGUAUAACUCAAUACCUUUUAUUGCAGGCUAGAAGGAUAUGGGGAACUAUUUUAUUAUACAGGCUCACACAAAAUGCACGCAAUAAAACCUUGAAAAUAAGAAAGCUUUUAUAUACUAAAAAUAAAGCGUGGACUUCUAUACAUACUGCAUUGUGUCCCAGAUAUGAACAGUGAAACACUACGUAGGAACUUGACAAUUAUUAUUUAGGACAAUUUAGCACACAGCAACUUACCGUAGAAAGACUGUAAAAACAAGAACAAAAAUAAUUCUAGCUAUAAGGACAGGUUAACCACUUUUUUUUUUCAAAGGGUAGGCAUACAGGAACGCAGACGAGGACGUAACUGUGAACGUUAUCUUGCAGUCACGUAUUUCAGGCAUGGUAACUGUAGUCUUAAAGCUUACAAAUAGUUUUUCGGCGGACGGCUUGUCCACAGCCUCGUUGGGGAAGGAUCUUUCAUUCUCUGACUCUAAUGAAAAACAAACGAAUACCCGAAGGCAUCGCAAGAAAAUCUGCAGCCUUAUUGUGUCCAGUACGAUUAGCGGGAGCAGUAGACGAUCAUAAAUAGCGACAGUUGUCAACUGCUAAGGCAUUUUCUGAAGCUAGAACGCUAAACCUUACGGUCAAGUUUCUUACACAUUGUCUGAUUGUAGGUAAGCUUUUUUCAUCCUCCCAUUUCUGAAGCGCCUAAAGUUAGCUUUUUUUUAAUAAUACAAAAUUACAGCGUCCCUCUUCUCGCGGCACCUAGAACUUGUCUUCUAUAUUUAAAUAAAUAAACCUUCUUCACUUCCUAUUAUUGGCAAAAGCUUUGAAGUGCUUUCGAUCUUCCUUUGUUCUAUUCAGCCUUCAGUUUUCCAUUUAACCUUGUCUUCCGAAUAGCGGCCUAUCGUAUAUUUGCUCGGCACGAAGCCAAUGUAUUGUCAUUUUGCAAUAUAAAUGCGGUGCAACGGAAGUGACCAACCUGCUGCGGAAAACUUGGCAUGACUCGGUUACAAAAUAUUUUGACAGAGCUUCUCGACUGAACAACAACCAAUACAGCGUACAAUGACGGCAAAGCGCUUGGCUCUUUGCUUUCUCGUACUUACAUUUCUGCCAGCAGCACUAUCAGCCUAUGUGAAGGGGAAGAAUGGCAGAAGCAAUAUCGUUGCCAAUAGAAUGCUACCCACAUUGCGUUGAAGGUCUCCAAGCAGCAUGUUUUAUAACUAACAACAAUCAAUGUCAGUGCGACUGCGUGACCGCAAAUUGUAACGCCUGCGCCAUUGUGCGACAGAAACACCGGUGUUCCGGAAAUGAGAUUCACCUUUGCAAUAAUAGGAAUGGGCUGUGCGAGUGCGGAUGUGUGCCUGUGGGAUUAUGGUGACAGCAGACGCUGACGACAAAACAGGUUGUGCAGGUUGUGCUUAGGCGGCCUAUUUCUUGCGCACUUAGUGGAUAUCUCUGGGGUGGAUAUACACGUAAUAAACAUUUCAUAA
This is a long non-coding RNA of Dermacentor silvarum, 2219 nucleotides long. RefSeq lists it as uncharacterized. The transcript is spliced from 5 exons. NCBI's taxonomy places the organism in Eukaryota, Metazoa, Arthropoda, Arachnida, Ixodida, Ixodidae. The record is from RefSeq and is a predicted model, not a curated record.